UACGUAGGUGGCAAGCGUUGUCCGGAAUUAUUGGGCGUAAAGCGCGCGCAGGCGGUCCUUUAAGUCUGAUGUGAAAGCCCACGGCUCAACCGUGGAGGGUCAUUGGAAACUGGGGGACUUGAGUACAGAAGAGAAGAGUGGAAUUCCACGUGUAGCGGUGAAAUGCGUAGAGAUGUGGAGGAACACCAGUGGCGAAGGCAGCUUCUUGGUCCAUUCCUGACACUGAUACACGAAAGCGUGGGGAGCAAACAGG
This 253-nucleotide ribosomal RNA is filed under the name uncultured bacterium. Its description in RNAcentral is "partial 16S ribosomal RNA". It matches the Rfam family "Bacterial small subunit ribosomal RNA", at positions 524 to 776 of the family's 1533-position model. The record is from RNAcentral.